GUGGCCGUAGCCAAGAGGCAAAGGCACCCGGUUGUGAUCCGGGUAAUCGACGGUUCGAGUCCGUCCGGCCACCCCA
Molecule: transfer RNA, 76 nt
Filed under: Rhodanobacteraceae bacterium
Lineage: Bacteria; Pseudomonadati; Pseudomonadota; Gammaproteobacteria; Lysobacterales; Rhodanobacteraceae
Description: tRNA-His
Rfam family: tRNA
About the family: Transfer RNA (tRNA) molecules are approximately 80 nucleotides in length. Their secondary structure includes four short double-helical elements and three loops (D, anti-codon, and T loops).
Source: RNAcentral